Molecule: ribosomal RNA, 440 nt
Filed under: uncultured bacterium
Lineage: Bacteria
Description: partial 16S ribosomal RNA
Rfam family: Bacterial small subunit ribosomal RNA
Source: RNAcentral
CCUACGGGGAGCAGCAGUGGGGGAUAUUGCACAAUGGGGGGAACCCUGAUGCAGCGACGCCGCGUGUGGGAAGACGGUCCUCUGGAUUGUAAACCACUGUCCCCAGGGACGAAAAUGACGGUACCUGGGGCGGAAGCUCCGGCUAACUACGUGGCAGCAGCCGCGGUAAUACGUAGGGAGCGAGCGUUGUCCGGAAUUACUGGGUGAAAAGGGAGCGUAGGCGGGGAUGCAAGUUGGGUGUCAAAACUACCGGCUCAACUGGUAGUCGCACUUAAAACUGCAGCUCUUGAGUGAAGGAGAGGCAGGCGGAAUUCCUAGUGUAGCGGUGAAAUGCGUAGAUAUUAGGAGGAACUCCAGUGGCGAAGGCGGCCUGCUGGGCUUUUACUGACGCUGAGGCUCGAAAGUGUGGGGAGCAAACAGGAUUAGAUACCCGAGUAGUC